RNAcentral lists this signal recognition particle RNA (96 nucleotides) under Acholeplasmataceae bacterium. RNAcentral describes it as "signal recognition particle sRNA small type". It matches the Rfam family "Bacterial small signal recognition particle RNA". From Rfam's summary of the family: The signal recognition particle (SRP) is a universally conserved ribonucleoprotein involved in the co-translational targeting of proteins to membranes. Archaeal SRP consists of a 7S RNA and homologues of the eukaryotic SRP19 and SRP54 proteins. Lineage: Bacteria; Bacillati; Mycoplasmatota; Mollicutes; Acholeplasmatales; Acholeplasmataceae. The record is from RNAcentral.
CCAGCAUCGCUAUUCAAUUGUAAAGCGUGAAACUGGUCAGGCCUUGAUCGGAGCAGCCAUAAGCGAAGUUUAUGAUGUGGAUAGCGAUGCUUGAGG